Molecule: ribosomal RNA, 323 nt
Filed under: uncultured Pseudomonadota bacterium
Lineage: Bacteria; Pseudomonadati; Pseudomonadota
Description: bacterial SSU rRNA
Rfam family: Bacterial small subunit ribosomal RNA
Source: RNAcentral
AUUGAACGCUGGCGGAAUGCUUUACACAUGCAAGUCGAACGGCAGCACGGGAGCUUGCUCCUGGUGGCGAGUGGCGGACGGGUGAGUAAUAUAUCGGAACGUACCUUUUAAUGGGGGAUAACUAGUCGAAAGAAUAGCUAAUACCGCAUAAGCCCUGAGGGGGAAAGCGGGGGAUCGUAAGACCUCGCGCUAUUGGAGCGGCCGAUGUCUGAUUAGCUAGUUGGCGGGGUAAGAGCCCACCAAGGCGACGAUCAGUAGCUGGUCUGAGAGGACGACCAGCCACACUGGGACUGAGACACGGCCCAGACUCCUACGGGUGGCUG